UGGGGAAUAUUGCACAAUGCGCGAAAGCCUGAUGCAUCAACGCCGCGUGAGCGAUGAAGGCCUUUGGGUCGUAAAGCUCUGUCCUUGGGGAAGAAACAAAUGACGGUACCCAAGGAGGAAGCCCCGGCUAACUACGUGCCAGCAGCCGCGGUAAUACGUAGGGGGCAAGCGUAAUCCGGAAUUAUUGGGCGUAAAGAGUACGUAGGUGGUCUUUUAAGCGCAGGGUUUAAGGCAAUGGCUUAACCAUUGUUCGCCCUGUGAACUGGAAGACUUGAGUGUAGGAGAGGGAAGUGGAAUUCCUAGUGUAGCGGUGAAAUGCGUAGAUAUUAGGAGUAGCAUCAGUAGCGCGGGAGACUUUCUGGCCUAGUACUGACACUGAGGUACGAAAGCGUGGGGACCAAACA
Molecule: ribosomal RNA, 404 nt
Filed under: uncultured prokaryote
Description: bacterial SSU rRNA
Rfam family: Bacterial small subunit ribosomal RNA
Source: RNAcentral